Molecule: ribosomal RNA, 691 nt
Filed under: uncultured bacterium
Lineage: Bacteria
Description: bacterial SSU rRNA
Rfam family: Bacterial small subunit ribosomal RNA
Source: RNAcentral
UGGUGAGUAACACGUAAGCAACCUGCCUAUCAGAGGGGAAUAACAGUGAGAAAUCAUUGCUAAUACCGCAUAUGCUAACAGUAUCGCAUGAUACAGUUAGGAAAGGAGCAAUCCGCUGAUAGAUGGGCUUGCGUCUGAUUAGCUAGUCGGUGGGGUAACGGCCUACCAAGGCGACGAUCAGUAGCCGGACUGAGAGGUUGAACGGCCACAUUGGGACUGAGAUACGGCCCAGACUCCUACGGGAGGCAGCAGUCGGGAAUAUUGCGCAAUGGAGGAAACUCUGACGCAGUGACGCCGCGUAUAGGAAGAAGGUUUUCGGAUUGUAAACUAUUGUCGUUAGGGAAGAUACAAGACAGUACCUAAGGAGGAAGCCCCGGCUAACUAUGUGCCAGCAGCCGCGGUAAUACAUAGGGGGCAAGCGUUAUCCGGAAUUAUUGGGUGUAAAGGGUGCGUAGACGGAGAAACAAGUUGGUCGUGAAAUCCCUCGGCUCAACUGAGGAACUGCAACCAAAACUAUUUCCCUUGAGUGUCGGAGAGGAAAGUGGAAUUCCUAGUGUAGCGGUGAAAUGCGUAGAUAUUAGGAGGAACACCAGUGGCGAAGGCGGCUUUCUGGACGAUAACUGACGUUGAGGCACGAAAGUGUGGGGAGCAAACAGGAUUAGAUACCCUGGUAGUCCGCACUGUAAACGAU